UCCUUCGCCAAUUCAGUCGGCAGCUGGAUCUUGGAAGCGUGCGACUGCAGGCUGGUUCUCUCCACGCAACUGAGAGGCAAAAACCCUAGCCGUCUUCCUCGUCCCAACCCUCGCGACACCAUGGCCGCAUCCAACGGCGGCGGCGGCCCGAUCUCCGCCGAGGCGGCGGCGGCGCUUGGCGAGGGCAUCAGGCUGGUGUUCGGGCGCUGGACGGCGCUGCAGAUGGCGGUAGAGAACCAGUGGGGCGGCCGCGACUCCCGCGCCAAGGCCGACCAGUUCGGCGAGUCCAUCCACUCCUGGUUCUGCCGCUCCAGGGGUCCGCACUAUUUCGAAGACUUGGUGGAUAUGAUGUACGACACAAUAUCUGAUUCUUUCAAUGCUGACUUUGAGGAUAAUAGCGUUGAGGAGGUCGCUGAACAGUUAUUGAUUAUACAUGAAGAAUGCCUGCAAAGCAACUAUUCAUCAAUAGAGAAGUUAAGGAAUUCACAUGUUCAGGGGAAUGCUGUUUCUCAAAGUAGACAGAUAGCUGCAGAUGAUGACGACAGUGAUAGCUCAGAUGAUGAUGACGGCGCGUCAAUGAUGGAAGAUGAAGCAGCUGCUGCGCCAGAGGAGAUGGCGGUGGACAGACCAAGACCCUCUAGGCCAGCACCUGACGCCGAUGGGUGGACUGUUGUGCCUCCUAGGCAUGGCGGUCGCUCUCGUGGCAGGAAUUAGGCAGAGGGCUGGAAACCUUGCUGCAUACUUACAUGUUGCUAGCUGCCGAUUUUGUUACUGAAUAUUGAGUGUUGCAGGUUCCUAGUUGCAUGUAUUGCUCAGGAUUUUAUCAGGGAUGUCGAGUGUUUUGCUUGCCACCAGAUUUGUAUUUGACAUGGGCGUGACUGCUCGUCGUGCUCCUGCUUAGGCUCGAGCUUCGUCCUGCGCGCCGUCAGAGCGAGCACGGCCAGGAUCGCCACGGCCGCUCGCGCCGCUGCUGCCAGAGCCGUGGUGAUGGCGGCGAACGGCACGGCGAUCGUGUUAAAGGCGGCCGAGUGCGCGUGGGAGGUGGCCACGAACACGUCGAUCACUUCGGCACAGACGCUCUUCGACGAUGUCAGAUACGUCGGCAAGGGUAGACUGUAGUAUGAUACUAC
This is an RNA transcript of Panicum hallii, 1130 nucleotides long. It is a transcript of the gene named pre-rRNA-processing protein TSR2 homolog, with no coding region annotated. The transcript is spliced from 5 exons. NCBI's taxonomy places the organism in Eukaryota, Viridiplantae, Streptophyta, Magnoliopsida, Poales, Poaceae. The record is from RefSeq and is a predicted model, not a curated record.